UAAAUUAGCCUAAAUAUCCUCAUUACAUCAGAUCUUAUCUGAUCUCAGAAGUUUAGCAGGGUCAGGUCUGGUUAGUAUCUGGAAGAGGCACUGCCAGACAAUUCCAGGUAAGCUGUGUUUC
Non-coding RNA from Anolis carolinensis (green anole), 121 nucleotides. Lineage: Eukaryota; Metazoa; Chordata; Lepidosauria; Squamata; Anolidae. The record is from Rfam.